CUCAAAACAGCUGCAGAAGAUCUUGAAACUCCUAACCAAGCCUCAAAUUCUUUUGAGAAUACCGUCAUAUACCUACUCCAGCUUGCUCCUGUUUGUGUAAAGGGUCUUUUCAUAUGCAAAAGAAGGGCAAGGGGGAGUGUCUUAUUUCCCACUCGCAGUGGGCUUUCCAGCUACCUUUUCAACAGAGCUAAACUGAGAGCUUCUAACUCGGGGCUCCGACACGGAGACACAUGCUCUGAUAUCAUCGCCUGGGGACAGAAUGGCUGUUUUCUGUCGGAGCCACGAGGACGGUCAAUGGUGGGGGAGUGAUCCACACAUAGUGGAAUGAGGAAAGACAGACACACCGCUUAAGAUUACUACA
Molecule: long non-coding RNA, 361 nt
Organism: Bombina bombina (fire-bellied toad)
Lineage: Eukaryota; Metazoa; Chordata; Amphibia; Anura; Bombinatoridae
Exons: 3
Source: RefSeq, a predicted model, not a curated record